Molecule: ribosomal RNA, 46 nt
Filed under: Tetradesmus obliquus
Lineage: Eukaryota; Viridiplantae; Chlorophyta; Chlorophyceae; Sphaeropleales; Scenedesmaceae
Description: partial 28S ribosomal RNA
Source: RNAcentral
AAGGCUACCCGCUGAACUUAAGCAUAUCAUAAGCCGGAGGAAGAUC